Molecule: non-coding RNA, 272 nt
Filed under: Trichomonas vaginalis G3
Lineage: Eukaryota; Parabasalia; Trichomonadida; Trichomonadidae
Description: Eukaryotic small subunit ribosomal RNA
Rfam family: Eukaryotic small subunit ribosomal RNA
Source: Rfam by way of RNAcentral
UACUUGGUUGAUCCUGCCAAGGAAGCACACUUAGGUCAUAGAUUAAGCCAUGCAAGUGUUAGUUCAGGUAACGAAACUGCGAAUAGCUCAUUAAUACGCUCAGAAUCUAUUUGGCGGCGACCAACAGGUCUUAAAUGGAUAGCAGCAGCAACUCUGGUGCUAAUACAUGCGAUUGUUUCUCCAGAUGUGAAUUUAUGGAGGAAAAGUUGACCUCAUCAGAGGCACGCCAUUCGACUGAGUGACCUAUCAGCUUGUACUUAGGGUCUUUACCU